Molecule: long non-coding RNA, 22037 nt
Filed under: Zostera marina
Lineage: Eukaryota; Viridiplantae; Streptophyta; Magnoliopsida; Alismatales; Zosteraceae
Description: long non-coding RNA (ZMAR_LNC003713)
Source: RNAcentral
ACUGAAUUUGACGACGCCGCCUUGAUUGCGGUUGAACUUAGAUUACGACCACCGUGACCAUGUUUCCAAGAUUCCGACUGUAAAUAGUGUAAAGUAUUCACAAAUCACAGAAAUUAGACACGGAUCUACAAAACCUAAUUCGACACAUUUUUUGGGGGAAAUAAACACCCUAGAAUUUGCGACCUAAUCAACUGAACGCGAACCCUAAUCUCAUCAAACAAAAAAGAAGAUCAAAUCAAACUUACCUUGAGCCAUCCGGUGGAAAACGCAACGCUUUUCCUCUGUUGCCCUGGUAGAAAAACUCGGGAGCUUUUUAGGAAUAAACCUUGAGAUACAACCGGAGUGUUCAGAGAGUACGAUCCGACGAAAGAUGUGGCGACGGCGGUUACGGCGGUGGUAGCGUCCAUCCAAUCAGCAAUCAAAGAAACCUAAACCUCAAAUCACCUGGAAGAUUUGGGGGGAAAUUGAAAACGAAGCAGCCGAAAUAAAAUCUCGUUUUUUGUUCGAGUCAAAUUUCAUGUGUGAAUAGUGAGAUUAUAUAGGGACCGAAGUAAAACCAAUCCUGAAAGAUCGAGAAGCAUUAAAUCCAAGACUGAUAAAACUCCACGUAGCUACUAACAACGUGUCCGAUUGUCGAUCUCAAACACGUCAAACACGUCUGUAUGAAACCAAUCAGAAAUUUCUUAAAAAAAACAUAUUCUAAUUCUAUGGUCGAUCUUUAAUUUCAUGUUAUCUAAUCUCCCAACUGUUUUUUUUUAUCAACAUUUUUUUGAUGUUGAUUUCGUUUUAAAAAAAACAAGGUGUUAUUUAAAAAUUCUGAACAUGCAAUUUUUUAUAAUUUAUCUAACUCCGAACCAGAGUUUUUUUAAUAGUUAAAAUCAAGAUUUGAGUGCACGCUAUCUGGAAAGUGGACAUUUAUGAGGAUCCAGGUUAAGAUCUGCCCUAAUACCCAAAUAGGGUUAGUAUUUAUAUAGAUUUUUCUUCCAGAUCUCACGAUUUCUCUCCAUUUCUAAAAUACACUUAUUAUUAAUUAUUGAUUUAACUUGAUUACUAAUUUUUUUUAAAUACACUUAGCGCUAUGAAGACGCUAUAGAGGCGUUAUAGCACGCUCUAUCUCCAUAGCGCAGGUAGCCAACGUUACGUUCUAUCUCCAUAGCACAGGUAGCCAACGUUACGCUCUAUCUCCAUAACGCAGGUAACCAGCUUUACGCUCUAACUCCAUAGCGCAGGUAACCAGCGUUACGCUCUAUCUCCAAGUUCGGCUCGAUUGGUUCGGUAAAAAGUAUAAAAAAAAACAAAAAAUAUUAUAUUUAGAAAAAAUGGAAAAGUAACACAGAUGGUAAAUCGUUUGCUUAGUAUGCGAGAGGUGGAUUCGAUCCUUCAUGUCUUUAAAUUAUUUAUUUUAACUUGCAGAUUAAAUUCGAGCCCGAGCCUGGAUAACUACUUAACGAGCCGAGCUCGAGUCUGGCUCUAUAAGCAUUGAUACCCUAUCCAUAGCGCAGGUAGUCAACGCUACGCUCUAUCUCCAUAGCAUAUAGGUGUCUCCAUAGUGCAGGUAGCCAGGUUUAAGUUCUAUCUCCAUAGCGUAGGUGUGAACUCAAACCUUGACUUAAAAUACAGGAAAAUUAACUGAAUUGUUUGCAUUGAUAAAGAUGAAAGAAGAUGAUUUGGUAAAAUAUUUAUUGUGAUUUGGGAAAACAGGAGAUCAAAGUGGGCAUUUGAUCGAAGUGAUUAAUUAGCAAAUGACAUUAAGCUUGGUCGGAGGAGGAAGAGGAGGAGCUUUGUCGUAUUUCCUGCUGAUCAUAAAUCGCUUCCACUGUCGGAUCACAGCCUGACAUUUGUCCAUGUCCCCAUUCUCCAGUAAAACAGUGGGCGGAAGAGAAUCUAGCUCAUUCAGCACCUUGAUGAUGUCGUUGACUAACCUCUCGGCAAGAGUACAGCUGAAGUCUUCACGUAUCACAACACGCAGAACAGUAACAUCUUCAGCGUCGGCCGGCAUGCUGUACGCCGGCACGAUCCAUCCGAACCGACGAAGGUAGUCCGAAACCUCGAACUCGGUGUGUCUGGAGUGGUCUUUAAGAGAAAAAGCCAGAAGUGGGACUCCGUUGUCCUUGGAAACGAUAUCGAAACGUCCGGUGCUCACCAGACCAUCUUUGAGCACCAUCGCAUUCUCCUGGCAAUUCUCCAUUAUGUUCUUGUAACCCUCGAAUCCCAGUCGGAUAAGUUGGUAGUACUGCGCGAUGAUCUGAGAAGAACCCUUGGAGAAGUUCAAGGUGAAGGUGGGUUGGUCGGCGCCGAGGUAAUUGAUGUGGAAGAUGAGUUCGUCAGGGAGAUCUUCUUUGUUCCUCCACACUACCCAUCCAAUGCCGGCGUAAACAAGCCCGUACUUGUGUCCACUCACGUUUAUGCUCUUCACCAAGGGUAAUCUGAAGUCCCACUCCAAAUCUGGGUACAAAAACGGCGCGAUGAACCCACCACUCGCCGCGUCGACGUGGAUGGGCGUCUCCCAUCCCGUUUUCUUGUUCUUCUCCAGUAGUAAGUCGUUCAGAAGCUUCACGUCCUCGAAUUCUCCGUUGAGUGUCGAACCCAAUAUCGCCGCGAUGCAGAUGGUGUUCUCGUCCACCAAAUCCACCGCCUUCUCUGGAUCCAUCACGUAGUAGUCUCUUCGUAGCUUCACCUCUUUCAGCUCAACCUCGAAGUACCUCGCAAAUUUCUCCCAACACACCUGAACGUUGGCGCCGGUCACUAUAUUGGGUUUGUCAUAAGGUUUUCCCUCGGCCUUCCGUUUGUUUUGCCACUUCCGUUUGAAGGCCAGACCGGCAAGCAUGAUCGCUUCCGACGAACCCACGGUUCCAACCCCGACGGCCGUCUCUGAUUCUCCCAGAGGACAGUUGAACAGAUGAGCUAUCAUGUUCACACAUCGAUUCUGCAAACAGUUCAGUAAGUAGUUUACACAUCUGAAAUUAAUGCACGCCGAUCAUUCCCACGUAUAUAUACUCCGAUACGUACCUGUAGUUCGGUGGUGAUCGGAUACUCGUCCAUAUCGACGUAGUUCUUGUUGAUGGACGCCAUCAUCAGCUUGUCACACUCAGGCUCCAUCCACGUCGUCACGAAAGACGCCAGAUUCAGCCUAGGAUUACCGUCGAGCAUAAGCUCGUCGUUGAUGAUCUGGUAAGCCGCAUCUUUGGGUAUCGAAUUCUCCGGCAUUCGAAACCUUGGCAGAGAUUUACGGACAUAGCGGGAGCCAAAGGUGGAGGUAAUGGAACAAUCCGAAUCGAAAGAGUGAUCACAGGAUAUAACCAUGUCGACCGACGAUCGGAAAAUCAAAACACCAAGUUAUUUAUUAAGUGGAAACCACGCCCGUUUUUAUAACCCCCCGUUCCUACUAAGUGGUGGGGUCAGUAAAGUGGGACCUACCUUUUAAAAAAUAGGACCCAACUAAGAUUUAUCAGAUUUUUUUUUUUAAAGCAAGAUUUAUCAAAUUGGUGAAUGCCAGAUCGACCGGACAGAAAUCUGCCGGUCACCGAUGUCGGUAUUCUGAUUCCUGAGAUAUCACAUGCAUGGUCGGAAAAACUUAUCUUAACUCUCAACAAAUUUAAUCCUUACAUUAAUAGUUACAGUGAUCAGUUAAUCUAAUCUUCCUGUUUAAAUUUAAAUGAGUUUUGGAAUAUUAUUUUUUUAGACAAAACUAAGGUGGUUUGUUAAAAGACUAAGUCAUUAAUUGAAGGUUAAUUAAGAAAAAACGUGUACAUUAAAGCAACCCACUAAGAUUAAUCAAGUCAAAUAAACCGUGCAAGACUUAAAAAGUUAUGAAUUAUUAAACAAACUGGUGUGUAUUCUAAAUUUUAAUAAGAAGAAAAAUCAAGAAAGGCUCUAAAUAUUAAAUAGGAUAAAAUAUUAGACUAUCAGGGCAAAAAAGGAGGGGGGAAUGUUGAUGGCAAAAAAAAAAGGUUUGCAGGAAAAGAGACAACAAAAGUUUACAGGAAUUACAGUCAUUGAAUCAACAUAAUUAAUGCACACAUACUCAGAUGGUUUGCAAAUAAAUUAACACAGGCUUAUGUAUGCUACAACCCUACCAAUCUGCAAGACUGCAACCAUCAGAAUUAAUGCAAUUCUAUGAUACAGAGAUGAGUAGAUGAUGAAUGGCUUCAUUGAUUUUCGUUUCUAAUGCAAAUGCUGCAGCUCCAGUCAUAUCUGAUCAAGUGAUCAUCAUUCAAUUCAAUCAUCUAACCACAUGAUUAAUGUUAACUAUAAACGGACUGUAUUGGUUGUUGGGUUGCAUCGAAUCAUGACGAAAUUGGGUCAUAUGGAUAUGAAAGCCAAGGAUGUCUCAAUGCAUCUGAUGCUGUCGGACGUUUCUUUGGGUUUACUUCAAGAAGAUAACCCACAAAGUCAAUAAAUCCUUCAUCUCCCAUUGGCAAACGAUGUCGCAAGGAAGACUUCUUAGGGAUCAAGUAUUCUAAUCUGUUUGUGUCCUGGAGCCAAAAUACUAUAUUCAAUAAACAUCAUAAACUAACAAAUUGUCAAUUCUAGUUCAAAGUUUUAAACAAUACAAACUAUUUCGGUCAAUCAACCUCAUUUCUGGACAAUUCAUUAUUCAAUAAUUACCUCUAUUGGUUAUGGGAAACCAAUUACUUGGAUCAUAUAAUCGGAUUAAUGCUUUAAAUAUUUUAAGCAAGCUCAAAAAAAAACUAACCUGAUUAUUACCUCUAUUGCUUCUGGGAAACCAAUUACUUGUUGGAUCAUAUAAUCGGAUUAAUGCUUUAAAUAUUUUAAGCAAGCUAAAAAACUAACUAACCUGAUUGCGUUCGUAAAGCGUAUGGUUCUUGCUAAAAUAUUUGUAUAUGUCCGAUCCCUUCGCUAGCAUACUUUGGUCAAUGGAACCUAUAAUUCCAAUCACGCGUGCAAGCAAUGUUGCUGGAGAAUCAUUUUGGAAAAGAACCUGGACAAUGACAAAAGAAUGAACACUUGUGAUUAGAUUAGUAUUGACCAACCUAAACAAAUAAAUAAAAGAAUAAUAAUAAUUAAUAACAAAUUCAUAAACGAUAUUAUUUUAACUUUUAAGUGUUGUCUAAGUUUCUAGUUUGAUUAAUUUCUAGUUUAUAUUGAAAAUUGAAACAGAGAUUUACAUGAAUUUACAAGUUCGUAUGUAUAAAAGUUUAAACUCAUACUAUACAAGAAAACAUGAGGGGGAAUGGUCGUUCGGAGAGAACAUAGGUGCCGAGGCACACCUAAUCAGGGUACAACCCUUCAUUUGAUUAAUGUGAACUUUUAAUUCUAUCAAAAAGAAAAACAAUAACAACUAUAUAUAAUUCUGCUUCCUAGAGAAAAAACAAGGCAAUCAUUUUACAACAAGAAAACUUUACCUAACAAAAAAAAAUCAUUAUAAAGUAAUAUAAUGCAAAACUUACAUUUCCAGAGCAAAGCUCGGCCAAGAUACAACCAAGUGACCAUAUAUCUAUUUUCUUGUCAUACGGAAGACCCAGAAUGACUUCAGGUGCACGAUAAGACCGUGAUUGUACAUACGAGCAAAGAUGAUCGGUUUCAAAGCAACUGCUUCCAAGGUCAAUGACCUUAAUUUCACACCUACUAUAACUUUUUACCAAAAUAUUUUCAGGUUUCAGGUCGCAAUGAAUAAGACCAAGACCAUGCAGAAAUUGAAGUGCCUCCAGACAUUGUAUAGUGAUAGACUGAAAACAAAAAUAACAUAUUAAGAGAAAAAACAAAUUGAUCAAAAUAAUUGGUCUCAGGUAAAGCUACGAAACCUGCAGUCUUGGCAUUGUAAAAUAAACCUCUCCCCCAGAUUCUCUGUUGAACUUGUGGAAUUCAUACAAAUUUGCUUUGAGCAGUUCACAGACAAUCAAUAAAUGCUCCUAAAUAAUAGCAAAACAUGUCUCAAAUUAAUUAUUUUAUAAAAAUACCGAAACCAAAAAACUUCAAUUCUUAAACUUGAUCUGUAUUUUAAGAUAAUUUAACGACAUAAUGAUUAACAUUAACCUAAAAAACAUCAAUUCUGUAUUACCCUGUAGUAGAAGUAAUCAUAUAGCCGUAAAAUAUGGUAUUUAUCUCCUGGAUCAUUCUUGUUGAUAAACUUUAAAAGCUUGAUUUCAUCAAGACUCUGAUCAAAAAAGUCUUUGUUGUUCUUUAUAAUUUUUACACAAACAUCCAUCCCUGUAUGCAAGUCAUGUGCUUGGAUAGCUUUACUGAAAGCAGCAGAGCCUAGGUAUUCUGUAACAUGAUAACGCCCCGCAAUCACUGAAUUUAGAACAACGUUGAAAUUUUUAUCUUCCUCAAAUCCAGUUCUGUGCAAGUAAAAUUCGAAAGAGAUUGUUUCAGAUACAAAUAUACAAUAGACAUCAGAAUAUUAGCUGACUAUAAAAAAUAGAGAAAGAAGUAGAAAGACAUCUUAAAUAGGGAGGAAAGAAAGAAAAAACCAUGAAAAAUAAGUAGAACAGAAAAUAACAGGCAAUGAAAUAACAAAUAAUUAAAUAAUAUACCUAUUUUUUCUGUGAACAAUCUUAAGAUGAAAAGUUUCAAAUUCUUCUCCUUGAGUUAUAAUCUGUCUUACUUGUUCUUGCACAGCAGCUGCUUCUUCAUCUUCUAAUAUUUUCCUAGGGUCUUCUUCUCUUCCUUCACUAGCUUUAUCGUCCUGGCUUAUUCCAGUAUCCUCUUUUUCAAUAUACUCAGCAUUUGAAGAUGUAGAUACAAUUGAAUUUCUUGAUUCAUCAGCAUUUGCAUAGCUACCAUCGCCAAAGCUUUUCCCAAGAGAAGAAUCGCUGUUUUUGCGUCUCCAUGCGGCAGCUAUAUAUUCAUUUUCUAUCAGAUCAUUUCCAAAAUCGUCAUCAUCUGCGAGAGUGAUACCCUUGUUUGACCAUGAAGAUUUACCAGAUUCUUCUUGAACUGGGGUUUCAAAGUUCAGUGGAGAAGGAAAAGAAAAGCCAACAUCACCAAAUCCAGGUUGAUGUUUGCCUUUCUCGGAAGCCAGACUGCAAUUUUCACUUUUUGUUUGGGAUUUUUCCCACGUGCGCCUAUCCAAGUAUUCAUUCCUGUUAGAUGAAGAAUACAUAGAUACCCCAAUACCAAUGUCACGAUCAUGAAAGUACUCGGUUUCCCCUUCACUGCACUCUCCAGCCAAACUUCCACGUAUUUCACUUCCAACAUCAGCAACAUCACUAUGCAUACCCACCCCAAUAGACCUGACAGAACCACGUUGAUCUUCGUAAGUGCAUAAGUUAUCAUGGCGUGACCGUUCAUUUUCAUUUGGAACGCCUCCUUUUUCCAAAAUUUCAAGCACGUUAUCCUGAGGAAUAAAAUCUUGCCAAACAGGUUCAGAACCCAUCAUCUUGUGUUCUUUACCGGGAAUCAAUUGCCCAUCGUAUUUGGAUAUUAAAUUAUCACUGUCUGUUUUCUCAAGUAUUUUAGCUGAAAAUCCCGCUGGAUUUUCAGAGGUAGAAACCUUCUCAUCUUUUUUUGAUGGAAAAUACUGUUCACCCACAAAGUAUGAGUCAUCUUCGGCAAAUGAGUGAUCGUCAUUCUCCUCUCUCGUAAGGAUACUUUUAUGUUGAUCACGAGAAUUACUAUGGCCAGCUCCCUUCUCAUUGUCACUUGAAUAGUCAAUUUCAUGAGCAAGAAACCACGCUUCAUCUUGUAUAGGCUGCCUUGUAUACCCAAGAUCAUCAUCGUCAUCAUAUUCAUCAGAAUCCCAAUAUUCAUUAGGAUAAUCAAGUGAUUCUUCACCAACAGUAGCAAAUCCAGAUACCAAAUCAGAUGUAUCAUCGGUCAUACCUUGGCUAACAGACAACCAAUUACUUCCAACCGCUCUUUUACCUAAUGUUACCGAUUUAAAAAUAGCCAUUAGAAAAUAGAAACUGAUCUAAAUUCUAAAUAAAUAAACCUCAUUAAAAGUAUUUACCUAUGAUAAGUAAAAAUUCUAAAUCACUGGUUUCAAAGUAUGCAAACCAUCAGUUCAAUUGUUAUAAAUCUACACCUUUCAACAGUUAACCAAAAGUAGUUUAAAUCUAAAUGCCCUAUACUUAUUUGAUAUCUAACCUCAAUUGACAUUCCCAGUGAUAAAACAGCUUAGAAUUUUUGGUGAUUAUAACUGAUAAUGUCCAAUCCAGGCAGGAGGGAUCAAGGCACCACAGUGUUGGGUCCCAAUGUUGGAUCUGAGUAAAUAUGAAGGGAAGAAAUCACUCAUUUGACGAUCACUCAAAGACCAGUUAACCUUCCAAGAAGUCUCCCUAUUUACAGGAUCCCUCUAGGGCAUCAUCCUUGGGCGUGGCUGACUUUGAUCCUUGUCAAGGUCGUCUGGUCUAGUCAAAAGACAGUAAAUGGUUUGAUCCAGGGAAAUGUAACGAAAGAAGGGAGCAAGGGACCCAAACAUGCCGCAAGCUCCAAUUAGGUUACCUAACUGGCAUAUUGGUCUACGUCAACUCGGGUUUCCCAAUCCAAAAGUGAGGUUCGGCACAGAAGGGAACCAAUGAUGCGACGAUCAAUAAACUAUUAGUUUUUGACUUUCUCACAAGUUCAAACAUGAAAGAUGAGCAUAAUCAUGUGAUUCAUUUUUUAAAAAUUUCAAAAUAAAUGAAAGAUAAAUUAGUUCAAAGGUGACGCACUGACACAUGCAUGAAAAGAAAAAAUAGAAGAUUAAAAAGAAAAAAAUGGAAAUACCUGAAAUCGCUUCAACAAACGGGACAUCAAGCAUUGAACCAACGAAAAAAUUGUCAUUCGCAUUGGCAACGAUUGAAUCAGAACCAUGAUUUUUUUCCUCCCAUUGAAUGUUAACUAACUUAUCCACUGAUUUAAGUCUUACAUGAGGCAACCUAGGUAGAUCGUCUCGAUGAUUUUCUGUGGCAACAGACAUUUCAGGAAAAAGAAACCUGUUUGUAUCUUCAAAGACCGCCUUUGUCGACAAAUUGAAAUCACUUCUACCGGCAUUCUUUUCAUUAUUUUUCUUGGGAUCCACAGGGCUGGAAAAUGACACAUCAUCCUUGGUUGAAGGAAGAACAUUCUUUACAGAGUAAUCCCUCCAGGGUUCUUUGUCGUUGGACCAUUUAUUGUCUGUAUAAUUCUCUGCAGAUGAAGCCCCUUUAGAUUUCAAUCUGUUCUUUGGAUUACCCAGUAGUUUAUCUUCAUCCUUAAAGACAAUUGUAUCUCUAGCCGAAGAAACAAUAUUCUUACCUGACAAAUCCCUCUUAUCAAAUCCUAGAAGAUCAGACUGAUGGUGCAAUGGCCUCCCAGUUCCAGACAUCGACAUAUCUGCAAAAUUGGUUUUAAAAACAUCACUAUCCAUUACUCGUUGAUCUGUCCGUUCAUCCAUCAACCCAAAACUCCAUGGAUAAAGAUCAACAGAAUGACUCUGAUCAUUUCUACUUGACGAUUCAACAAGAUUCCUACCAUCUGACCCAGUCCCCCCCUUUCCAUUCCCAACAUUCCCAAUCUCAAUCUCCUUGACAAUAAAGUCAUCCGAGCUGUCUAUAGUCGCUAGCCUCACGCCCCCUUUAUCUUCAUUCUUAUCUUCCAAUCGAACAUUAUGAAGCAGUCCAUUCAAAUCCGAUCUACUGUUGAUCUCUCCUAUCAAAGCUGCCUCACCUCUAGUGAAUUUGUUCCUCUUCAAAUAUUCCAGAACCACAUCAACAUUGUCAGCCAUUCAGCACUUCCGAAACCGACAACCCAAGCUCGCGUCUCCACCACACCACCCUAAAAGCCUAAACAAACAGACGACGGCGAGGGUAGAAAUCAAAUCAGGAGAACUCUAUUCCUCAAUCCCACAGUUUGGAUAUCAAAAAAACAAAACCCCUCUUUCACAAGAACCCUAAAAACGGCCGUGUAGAUUCGAGAGAGGAGAUAAAGAAAAACCCUAAAAACGGCCAGCUAUUCAAAAGAAGUGAACUUUAAAACGUUUACUUACCGAUGGUGGUGGUUCUGGUGAGAUUGGAAGAAUUCAAAGUGGAGAUUUGCUUAACUGUUGGUGGCGGUGAUGGUGGUCGACGGCAGCGACAGAAACGUGGAGAUUGUAUCACGAGAACACAAAUACACAUCUACUUCCAUAUUUACAUUAAUUAAAAUAUAUUAAAUAAUCUAAUGUGUGACCCCACCAACUACUAACAUCUCUAUUACUUUAAUCACUUAAUCAAAUGUAGUUUCAAACUAACUACCUUUUAACUGUUGUUAACUUUUUUUUUUUUUUUUUUUUUUUUUUUUUAAAGUAAUUAGAUUUCAUUUAAAAAUACGAACAAUACCCAAAUUAAAUAAAGUAAUUAAAUUACGUUUUAGUAAAUAUCGAGUCAGUCCUUAAAGGUUGUUAAGUUUCACUUGGCUGGAUUAAUGCAGAGGGUGUAGGGUGAAUCGUAUGUGACCACACAUCUUUUUUUGUUUUGAAAUUUAUAUAUUAUCAAAUAGUUUUAAUUCAAAAAAUAUAUAUAAAAAUAUAAAACAGAAAUAAAAUAAAAACCUAUAUAUUGAGUCAUUGACUCUCUUUUAUUAACUAUAUAUAUAUAGUAACUAUAUACGUUAUCUCAAGAGGUUGUUUUCUCAUACUUUCAUCAUAAAUGUCUUCAAAAGAUGACAAUAACUUUUCUUAUAACACUUUAGAUCAAAGGUUGUUAAUUAACUUGUUAUAUAUAUUAUAUGGCGGACACCGCACCAAAAACACGUUGCAGACAUCGCAGUCCGGCCCCCUAUCGCUGCCGUCCGGUCCCCUAUCGCUGCCGUCCGGCCCCCUAUCGCUGCCGUCCAGUCUCCUAUCGCUGUCGUCCAGUCUCCUAUCGAUGUUGUCCAUUCCUCUGCACUCGCGACAACAUUAGGUUCGGUUUCCGUCACUCGCGAUACCAUGUGGUUUGGUACCGCGAUUCCUGGUUCUGGGUACCUGGAACUACCGCGUCAGUUCUAGGUGACGCCGGAUCCGUGGCCCAUCCGCAGCCAGUUUCAGUUGCGGACGUUCGCAGGUGAAUUGCCUAAACACAUAGAGAUCGAGAUUAAUUUAACUGAUUACAGUAAUUAUUAUACUUUAUGCUAGUUCAGUAUUCGAAUGUUGAUGUGUACGUAUUUUUAUUAAAUUUUCACUACGAUUUAACUAAUUAUAUAUCAUAUGACUCUAGUAUACCAUUCGGAGAUAGACAAAUAGAUGAAAACAAACCAUAUCGAUAAACUGUCGGUUAGCCAAACAUUGCCGCUACCACAAAGUCCAUAUAUAGCUCUUCAAUUAUGAUCAUGUGACACAUGGAGAUUAGCUAAUUAACUGAUAAUUACAAUUUAAUGAUCUUACUUUAAUGAUCUUACUUUAAUGAUCUAAGAUUUCUAUAUCAAGAAUAUAAUUAUAUAUAUUUAUAGAUAGAAACAUACCUUGUGUUGAAUCCAUUAUAAUGAAAGUUACAAACUUGAUCUCCGAUUAUUUUUUUGUCUUUUUUAAUACAUCAUAGAUCUUUUAAGGUUUGAAAUUUCAUACACUGAUGAUAUAUAUGAAGAUGUUACUAUUCCGAAUACGUGAAGAUUAACUAGUUCUUUCGAAUAUGGUAUUAAUAUAGACUGAAAGAAAUAUGACAAUUGUGAAUAUGGCAUUAAGAUUAACUAGUUCUUUGGUUGUAGCAAAUUUCCCUUCUCCCAGGGUUAUUUGAAAUGAAAUAUUACCAACUACUAAAAUUUUUACUUGACCAAAACCUUUAACUGGAAUAUUACAUAUUUUGACCGUGGCCCUUCACUUUCCACUCUGUUUCAAGGAUUUAGCCACGGCCAGUUAAGGAUUAGCCACGGAUUACAGUCGUGGCCCUUCAUCACUCAAAAAAUUUAGCCACGGCAAAAUAAAAUUAGCCACUGAAUUAUGCCGUGGCUAAUUUUUUAACAUUAGCCACUGAAUUAUGCCGUGGCUAAUUUUUUAACAUUAGCCACGGAACAUAGCCGUGGCUAAAAUAAAUGGCCGUGGCUAAUAUUUAGCCACGGAAAACCAUUUCCGUGGCCAAAAAUCAGUAACCACCAGACUUACAGCCACGACACCUCCCGUGGCUAAUUCCCGUGGCUAAAUCAAUUUAGCCACAGAUUUUGCCAUUUAGCCAGUGAACUUGGCCGUGGCUGUUUCCCUGUUUUCUUGUAUAUAGUGCAUGUUUCAAGAUUUUUUUCUUCCUAAAUCCAUAUUUUUAAGGGUAUUUCAGUAUAAAUCCAUAUUGAGACACCAGUGUCGAUCUACUAGAUACUUUUUGUCUGAUUCUUUGCUUGAGCUUUACAAAUUUAAUUUGGUUGAAUGAUCUUUAUCUUUGUGAUAUCACUACAAGAAAUAUAAGACCUAGUAUGACGGUCUUAAGAUCACGUACGGAUUUUCGCCGUCAUAAGUGAUCAAUGGCGGAAAUCCGCCAUUUUAAGACCGCCAGGACGAUAACCGUCAUGAUAACCCCAUAUCCGUCAUCUAUUAUUCAUCCCCAUUUUUCAUCAAAAAAAGUGUACAUGGCGGAAAUCCGCCAUUGAAUCUGAAAUUUUUCGUGGGAAUUGAAAAUUAUAAGAUGGCGGAUAUUCGUAGUAUUUUCCGAUCCGUUAUUGCAAAAUUGGGCAGAGGCUUCGUUCAUGGGUCUAGCUGGCGGAAGGGUAUUUUGUAAUUCUAAAUUUUCUCUCUCUCUCUCUCUCUGGUUUUCUCUUGAUUUGGGAGAAUUUAUUAUGGUUUUGUUUUGAAAUGGAGAACUAACUAUAUAUAGCUAGUUGGGACAUUCUAUGCUCUGAAUUUUUCUUUAAUUUAACAUUUCUUCUAUAUAUGUCCAUCGCCUUGUAAGCCUUUCAAAUAGAUCUGUCAUAUUUAAAUGAGGAUUUCCGCUAUUUUAACAGCAAACCUAGUUGGUCUCAGGCCGACCUUAAAUGUCAUUUAUGGCGGCAAUACUAUAUGUGAAUCUUUCUACGUAUAUCCGGUCCACUCCCGUCCAUCGACAAACUAGUGGACGCAACUUCAGGGAAUGAAUUGCUCUCUAUGAUGGAUAAACACUCAGGCUACAAUCAGAUACUCAUGAAAGAAAAAGAUGAGAAAGUUACAUCAUUCAUCACAGACUGAGGAACAUUAAUUAUACUCGAUUUAAGGUCGGUUUUAGAUAAUCUCUUAGGGUUUUAUUUAUUUUUUGUUUUACGUUUAACAGGGCAUUUUGAUCGAUUGAUUUUUCUUCUGAUUAGGUGGUUAAAAAUUUCUCAAAAUUUGUGUUCUGAUUCUUCUCAAAACUGUUGAUAUUGUUAUGAGCUAGAUAAGUUGACAUAUGUAUUUGGUAAAAUAUUUUCGGAAUUUAAUCCGCAUGUCUUCUUCUUAGAGAAUUAUGAUUUUAAUAUUUUCAUUCGGUUGAUCUUUACUUAGGAUGAGUUUAUCAGAGUUUUAUUCAAUUUUAUUUGAAUGUUUAGUACAUAAUUAAAUAAAUAAAAAUUAAAGUACAUACACUGAAACUCGAACCAUGGACCUUCAGUCACCUUAAUAUUGGUGAUGACCAACUAAGCUAAUCGAUCAAGUUUAUGCGGUCGUAAUAAAUCCCUAUAUAUAGAUCGAGAUCAAGCAAAUCACAACUAUAUAUAUAUAGAUAGAUAGAUAAACCCCCCUAUGCAGGCGUCGAUCAAUUGUUGGAGCGCCAUUCCGAUCUACCUAAGCUGAACUCCAAACUAGGUUUUCUCGAAAUGUCUUUCUGGCGUGGAAAAGUAUAGACACCAUCCUGCAUUAACUAGAUUAUAUGAGAUAAUUGAAUCAUCGAUCGAAUAUUCAAAUUUCGGGUAGAAAUAGACGGACAUGAUCACCUGUUUAUCACGCGGCGCAAAGUUGUGGCCACCACUGCCAUUGUCGCCGGUCGAGUUACUUCGCAGCCAAGAUCUUGGAGAAUAGGUAUAGAUUAAUUAUAUGAGUAAUUAAUGAUUUAAUUGCUGAUUAGUUAGUUAACUAACUUAACGGAUUAACUAACAAAAAUAAACCUGCAAGACAUGUACUUAUAAAUUAAUUUGCACCACUCCCAAAAUACAUCUAGCUGUGUUUAAAACCACAGUGUUGUUGGACUGUGGAAUCCGCAGAAGAUCGAAGAGAAAAAUCACAAUAAAUAGCAUGAAAACAAAACCCUAAUCCUCAUCGAUUUCUGUAGUUAAGACUGAAAACCCUAAUAUCCGGGCAAAAAGAAGAACAUGCAUGCAUGACAUGUACUAUAUCGCAUGACAAUAUGACAUGAUCGAUCGAUAACGAGUAUUUCGAAGUUAUAAUCAAUUGAAUCACCUUGACGAGUAGUUCAGAUUGAAUCCAUGGGUCUUGACAGACGAUGAUCCUGCCGAUAGACUGUUGUGAGAUUCAAAGAUCACAGGGCGGAGAUUCAGAUCAGUCGUCACCGAUGACGGCGACGCGAGUUCUUCUGCAUGCACCCAUGUACCGGUGAAGUUAAAUAGACAGUUAUAUGAGAAAUGAACUGAAGAUCCUAAGAAUUACCGGCGGAGGAGGAAGCUGCAAGCUUGUCAGCAGCUUUAACAGUUCUAUACAUCUGCAGCGAAAUUACAGCAAAUUAAACCCACAAAAGAAGAUAUUACAGAUUAGCAGAAGAAGAAGAAGAAUCUAACCUGCAAAUGACUCUUGACAUGGGAGAGAGUGAGGUCCUUGAUAUCCAUGAGCUCAAGAACAAGCUUUGGAGUAGCGCCUGUAUAGAGAUUAUCGUUUCAGAAUGAUGUUUCGAGAAUUAGAAAAGGAAGGAAGAACGUACGAUUUUGGCCGCCGAGGAGGUCGACGGCAUGGACGAAGCGAGCGUGCAAGGAAGUAGUCCAUCGUAUUCUUGGAGCUCUCAUGGAAGUGACCUUCUUCAUCAUCGACGAUGUCUGUAGUUUCGAGUUCGUCGUGAAUCUCGAACGAGAUGAACUUGCACAUGUACCUGUACCCGUACCAUUGAUCUGGCUGUUCAGAUAUAGUACGUCUUUUAACCUUGUCGGUGUGACGGUCAGUGGCACCAUCCUAUGGCGGUGAAAGGGUGAUCUAAAACCAGCACUGCUUGAGUGCAACAAGGAUGACGACGACAGAAGAUUCGACGGCGGUGAGGAUGAAGAUGUCGAUGAAGAAGUUGACGAAGACGAUGUAGAACAGUAUGGUGAGAUGUGACGGCGGUAGUAGCUGGUUCCCAUCUUGUUGGGAAUGAUGGACGGAAAUGGAAUCGUUUGUCUAUUAUUAUGGUAAACAGGCACUCCUUCCAUAAAAGAUCGCAUCUUGCUCUUGGCCAGAAUCUGAGUCCCACGUGUGUGCGUUGCCGCCGGUGAAUUCAUCCCCCCAUCAUUCGUCGCAGUGUCCGGUGGACAUAUCCUCAAAGACAGAUCAGGACUUGACAGCAUCGUUCCCUACCUCCCUACCUACCUAACUUCGUCGGGGACAAAAUUAAAUGAACCCAAUUCAAGAAACUGAAACUGAAACUGAAGAUCAAACCCUAGCCGGAUAUCGUUUGUACCAGAGAUUAUAGGCAGCAGCAGAAAGUGAUUCCAAACCCCAAAGCAUAGUGAGAAAGAUAGAAAGAGACAAGACAGAUCUGAUCAUUAUUUGAUCUGUCCAGAUCGAGUGAAAGAUAAAUUAGUUCAACUGUUCAUAUUAACUAGAAAAAAAUACUGUUACCACCACUAUCAAUUUUAAUGACGUUUGAAAUUUGAAAAUAUCUAUAUAACAUAUUACCCAAAUCUGAGUCUGCAGCAAUCAAGAAAUGGAUAUCUGAAAUAAUAAUAUAACUAGCAAUUAUAAGGAAUUGAUGGAUUGAUUUGGUGUGUUAUUAGAGUAGUGAUUAUAUUAUCUGUGAAUUAAUUAGGAACUGUUGCUGCAAGGAGAAGCAGCAAGCAAGCAAGCUUUGGAUACCAUAAUGAAAGAUGAAUUCUUCAAGUUACUGUUUCCAAAAUCCAAAUCAUUUCAUCAUGAUGGCGAGUUUAAAGAAAUGGUAGCUAGCUAGCUAGCAAACAAACUAACCCUUAAACCUUAAUAUAUCGAUCUGAUUGUAAAUUUGAAUCUGAGAUUAUGGCUGGAGAAGAAGAUAAUAGAUGAUGAACAGCAGUAACAGCUGUACAGUGAACUUAAUUAUGAUGAAAAAGAUGGAUCCCCAGAGUGUAGAGAUACUGUCUGUUCUGUCUGUCUGGAUGACUGAGUGUUGAAUUUCUGAAUGCAUGCAGGUCCCAGAGAGCUUGGUUGCUGCUGAUGGUAAUAAUGAAAUUACACUGCUGGCUGGUUUGGAGAGGUUCAGAGUUCGACCAGUACAAUUAUUAAACAUUGAAGUCGAUCUAGAGUGUUCUGUAAGUCGACCAUGUAGAUACACUGUGCAUAUCGAUCUUGUGAUCGGUUAAUUGAAACUUUAUUGAAGAACUCAAGUUAGCUAGCUAGCUAGUUGAAUUGAUCAGCUUCUCGUUACUGGUUAGGGUAGAUCUAACUAGUUUUCCUGUAGCUACCUGUAGAUCGAUUGAUCAAUUCCUCAUUUUCCUAGCUACCCAACUAAUAAUUACAAUGGGAAAUUAAUCAAUCAAUGCAUGUCACAGUUAGACUUCCAUGUCUGUUCACUGUGUAUGGAUAGCAAAUGGGUGAACCGUGAACAGAUGAUGGCCGGCCACUGGUUACCUUAAUUAUAAUGUGUAUCCGAUCCUGGCUAGUUUGUCGAUCGGUCCCCGGUUAUAUAUACCACCGAUCGAUCGACCCCGUGGAAUUCUAUACAUGUGCUGCUACAGUUCUUUCCAAUAUAUUAUUUCUAAUUCAUUAUUUCCACAAUCCUAACCUUAUCAAACUCAAUUAAUCUUAUUUAAUUGUUAUCUUUGUUUGAAUCAUGUGUAUUUGAUUUCGGUCGAAUGUAACAUGUCAAAUAAAUGAUAAAUCUACUAAUAUCUCACGAGAUAUGUUUUUUUGAAUAUCGCACAAGAUGACGUUGUUAUACUAUAUAUUAGUAUUCAGGUGUGCCGUACAGUGCGAAUGCUAUAUGUGUCAAGUUAAUCUUGUCCAUCAGAUCGACUUUACGUCGUACAUGUGUUGUGCAGUAUAUUAUUUCGCGCCUAACAUGUGUUAGUGUCUUGUGCAGUAUGUUAUUUGCUUCAUUGUAAUAAAUAUUAUUUGUCACGAUUUGAUAACACAUGACGGCGCUAUAUAAAUACAAUUAGUUUUUGGUGCGUCGAAUCGAUCUAGUACGUCCUUGUUUAAACCAAUAUCUAUUUUAUUGUCACUCAUCCUAGCAGCGUAUUGAAAUACGUUCAGUCAGAUAUACUUGAUCAGUGUUUAAAAGAACGAGUCAGGUUUAUUUGACACACCAUGACGUUUUAAACUUCGACACACCUGAAGUGCGUCAUAUAUAUAUAUAUACACUCGAAAUUUAGAUUAUCAGAAACUUUAAUAGUUAAUGUGAUAAUUAGUUGAUCAAUUAAUUUUCUUUUAAUGUGUUUAAAGGAGAUUGAACCACUUACUAUUUCUUCACGUUUCAACUUGCUAUUCCAGUCGAUUGGUCUGCCGGCAAAGCAUUUAUACUAACUGUUAUUAAUGCUAGCUAGAUACCAUGGAUAGUUUGUCUAGCUAGAUACCAUGGAUAUAGUAUUGAUUACCUAAUUUUAAAAAUUUGCAAAUUGAAACAUUAUGACCGUCUGUCUACCUAGGUCAAUACGCACGUACUUUGUGUUGAAUCCAUUAUAUAUAUAGAUCGAAAACGGUAAAACCUUUAAUCUUCUCACUUCUUGUGUUGUUAAUUUAGUGAAACUGUCAAACUCGCUAGCUAACCGGCCAGUCUGGACACAAGUUGAUGAAAAAUAGGUCCAUGACAAAAAGAAUAAAUGGAUUCUUCACCACACAUGUGUAAUAUAUGAUAUAUAUAUCCUAUCUACCCCAAUUAUAAAGGCAACAGCUUGAUACAAGUGACUUGGGUAGGGUAUAUGGACUUACCCAUAUCCUAUCUUAUUUCACUAGGUUAAAAUCCAGGUCGAAUGAAAAUCUUUUAUCGAGAAAAAAUAUUUACUUAUAUAGAAAUAUAAAAAAGUGAUAAAUUCAUUGACUAUUUUCUAUUAAUUAUGUAAUUCAGUUAUAAAGUAAUUAACUAGAUACGUUUGUCAAAAAAUUGAUUGAUUUCCUUUAUUUCCAUCGUAAAUUUGGUAACAACAACUCUUCUUGUAACACUCACUAUAAGAAACACAGACUUGUAGGGACGAAAAUCAAGACCGUCUCUAGAAAGUCAACAAGAUGACUUUUAAGGACGUGGUGGGGACGGCUAUUUCCUAAAGAUCAUUAGGGACGGAUUUUGAUCGUCCUUAAAGAUCGUUUUUAUUGUGGUGACUCUAGAUCAAAAAAAAUACUGAUGUGUUUAACGAUCUUUUUAAGAAAUACCUUAAGAGACUUACUAAUAUGUUAUCUGUAUCUUUUUUUUGUCCAUACAUAUAUAUCACGACAAACAUCUAAUAACAUUUCAUAUCUUUUGAAUAUUGGUAUACCUUUUUUUUUUGAAUUAAAACUAUCUGGUAAUAUAUAAAUUUCAAAACAAAAAAGAGAUGCGAUCACUGCGAUCCACCCCACACCUUCCGCAUUGAUCCAGUUAAGUGAUCUUACGAUCGUUUAGACUUUCAACAACCUUUAAGGACUGAUUCAAUAUUAUUAGAACGAACUAUGUUUCAUCGUUCUCGCAUAGUGGAUUUUAGACAAUGGAUGUGGUGGUAAUAUUGGUAUACCUAAUUAUGUUUCAAAGGUAACUAACUAUAUAAGAAGAAGAAAAACAUAACCUACACGAUUUGGUCAGAUAAAAAAACUGGAGCCAGGUAUCAGGCACUACCCUACAUGAAGACCAGAGAGGAGGAGAAUAUUGAUUAAUUAAGGAAUCAAAAUGUUAAAAACUCCAAUUUAACUAAGAACAAAUCAAAUUCAGAGUUGUAGUAGAUUCUCUCUCAUGUACCAAUAUGAUAUCACUACACGAAAACUAGCUAAAAAUGGGGGAAUUUUUCCCUAUUUUUUUCGAAGUCAGAAAUGAAGGAAAAUAUUAGGUAUAAAUGGAGGAAUUUCCGUCAUUUUUAUCUAUGUUAUAUUUUUCAAAAAUUUAAAAUGACAGUGGAACCGAUAAGAAAUGACGGAAAAUCCCCCAAAUUUUAUAAAUUGGUUUUUUUGCACUUUUGGAUGUUAAUAUAAUUAAUGUUAAAAAAAUUAUAAGUUUAUAUCAAAUAUUUGUAAUAAAAAAUAGGGUUUAAAUAAUAUAUUUUGAAAUAUUAGAUUAUAAUGUUUAUAAACUCAAUUCCAUCCAAAUAAAAUAAUUAACCAAAUCAAUAUGAAAAAAAAUGAAUUAAUUAGACUCAAUUUAUGCCCAAACCCAUAUCAAUUAGAAUAAAAAUACCCAAAUCAAUAAGUUUAUCCCUAAAACGGUAAAACCCAAUCCCUAAAAUUAAUAAAACCCAAACCCUUCUUUCAACUCUCCUUGUAAUUAAAUCUCAUUCUCACUCUUGAAGGAAAUCCCCAAACCCUCGACAUUCCUUUCACAAAAGACUCCCCAAACCCUCCUUUCACUCUCGACGGAAAGUUCUCGACGGAGACAAUGCCCCAAAUAAGUUCUCGUUUUCCCUGAAGUUCUCAUUUUCCCUCUUACCAGAAACUCUCGACGGAAGGUUUUUUAAUCGCUCACUCACUGCAGGUUUGGUACUCCAACUUUUUUCUUUAUCCCUUUAGGUUUCAUUCUGAUCUCAGAUAGGUUUGAUCUGAUACGGAUAUCCACUAACAUCCUUCAAAGUCAUGAUAGCUGCCAUGCCUCUACAUCUCAGCAUACGAUCUGUCCUAAACCAUUCCCCCCUUAGAAUUCAUCUCGUAGAGUCUGGCGACUAUUGAAUCCCUUUUUUUUAACCCAAUCGUAAUUCUUGACAGAACAUUGCAUCCCUCUGGAACCCCAUUCUCUAAUCCUGUAGCGCGAAGAAGUGGGAGAAGAAAACGAAAGAGAAGGAUGGGAGAUGCGUUUAGAUCGGCCAUGAGAAGGUUUCAAGCUUUGAAGGUGCCGAGAUCCUUCAAAACAGGUACACUUUGACAAUUUUUUAUCUCUCUAUUUACUCCUUCAAAAUACAACUAACAAAGAAAUUUUUUUUUCUUUCUGUAUUUAGUUCUUUUGGAUUUUAUUACAUUUAUGCUUGGAUAUUUUCCUCUUCUAUUUUGGUUUGGUUGAUUUUAUUUUUGAAAAACCAGGGAUCUGGAACAAGUAAAUUUUGAUGUAGACAGUUUCUUUAGAACUUUAGAAUUAGUUGGCCAUGGAAGUGACAGUGAUGGUGAUUUUGAAGGGGAUGCUACAUCAUUGUCAUCAGAUACUGAUAUCGAUCCAGGUAGGCCCUGGUCUUUCUAUCCAUAGUUCCAUAUGAACUCCGAAGACUUCUCUCCUAUUAUAUGUUGUAGAUGAAAAUCUGGCAUGGUUUAAUGUUCAAGUGAAAAUGAUGGCUUCUUUUUAAACACCAAAUUUAACUUGAUUCUGAAGAUGAAGAAGGCAUGUAAAGAGAUUGUUAACAAAUCUGCAAUUGAUGUUGUUCUUUCUAAAGAGCUUCUGUGGAAUAUUUUAUCACUUNNNNNNNNNNNNNNNNNNNNNNNNNNNNNNNNNNNNNNNNNNNNNNNNNNNNNNNNNNNNNNNNNNNNNNNNNNNNNNNNNNNNNNNNNNNNNNNNNNNNNNNNNNNNNNNNNNNNNNNNNNNNNNNNNNNNNNNNNNNNNNNNNNNNNNNNNNNNNNNNNNNNNNNNNNNNNNNNNNNNNNNNNNNNNNNNNNNNNNNNNNNNNNNNNNNNNNNNNNNNNNNNNNNNNNNNNNNNNNNNNNNNNNNNNNNNNNNNNNNNNNNNNNNNNNNNNNNNNNNNNNNNNNNNNNNNNNNNNNNNNNNNNNNNNNNNNNNNNNNNNNNNNNNNNNNNNNNNNNNNNNNNNNNNNNNNNNNNNNNNNNNNNNNNNNNNNNNNNNNNNNNNNNNNNNNNNNNNNNNNNNNNNNNNNNNNNNNNNNNNNNNNNNNNNNNNNNNNNNNNNNNNNNNNNNNNNNNNNNNNNNNNNNNNNNNNNNNNNNNNNNNNNNNNNNNNNNNNNNNNNNNNNNNNNNNNNNNNNNNNNNNNNNNNNNNNNNNNNNNNNNNNNNNNNNNNNNNNNNNNNNNNNNNNNNNNNNNNNNNNNNNNNNNNNNNNNNNNNNNNNNNNNNNNNNNNNNNNNNNNNNNNNNNNNNNNNNNNNNNNNNNNNNNNNNNNNNNNNNNNNNNNNNNNNNNNNNNNNNNNNNNNNNNNNNNNNNNNNNNNNNNNNNNNNNNNNNNNNNNNNNNNNNNNNNNNNNNNNNNNNNNNNNNNNNNNNNNNNNNNNNNNNNNNNNNNNNNNNNNNNNNNNNNNNNNNNNNNNNNNNNNNNNNNNNNNNNNNNNNNNNNNNNNNNNNNNNNNNNNNNNNNNNNNNNNNNNNNNNNNNNNNNNNNNNNNNNNNNNNNNNNNNNNNNNNNNNNNNNNNNNNNNNNNNNNNNNNNNNNNNNNNNNNNNNNNNNNNNNNNNNNNNNNNNNNNNNNNNNNNNNNNNNNNNNNNNNNNNNNNNNNNNNNNNNNNNNNNNNNNNNNNNNNNNNNNNNNNNNNNNNNNNNNNNNNNNNNNNNNNNNNNNNNNNNNNNNNNNNNNNNNNNNNNNNNNNNNNNNNNNNNNNNNNNNNNNNNNNNNNNCUCAGCCCUCUGAGUCAUAUUUACCAGGCAAGUCGCGUCACGCUGUUCGAGUUGCUUCUCAACAGCAACAGGGAGAAGAUGAGGGUGGUUGGCAAGGAUCUGUGAGAGAAAUUGACCAACGGGAGAUUCCAUUGAAGAGGAGCAAUGGAAAGGCUUGAAGAAUCUGUUGGAUCAGUGGGGACUGAAUUUGACGCUGCCGCCUUGAUUGCGGUUGAACUUAGAAUUACGACCACCGUGACCAUGUUUCCAAGAUUCUGACUGUAAACAGUGUAAAGUAUUCACAAAUCACAGAAAUUAGACACGGAUCUACAAAAUCUAAUUCGACACAUAUUUGGGGGAAAUAAAUACCCUAGAAUUUGCGACCUAAUCAACUGAACGCGAACCCUAAUCUCAUCAAACAAAAAAGAAGAUCAAAUCAAACUUACCUUGAGCCAUCCGGUGGAAAACGCA